Molecule: ribosomal RNA, 16 nt
Filed under: uncultured Acaulospora
Lineage: Eukaryota; Fungi; Glomeromycota; Glomeromycetes; Diversisporales; Acaulosporaceae
Description: partial 28S ribosomal RNA
Source: RNAcentral
ACACCUCAAGUCAGGU